RNAcentral lists this ribosomal RNA (1529 nucleotides) under Salmonella enterica subsp. enterica serovar Stanley. Its description in RNAcentral is "partial 23S ribosomal RNA". It matches the Rfam family "Bacterial large subunit ribosomal RNA", at positions 1292 to 2804 of the family's 2925-position model. Lineage: Bacteria; Pseudomonadati; Pseudomonadota; Gammaproteobacteria; Enterobacterales; Enterobacteriaceae. The record is from RNAcentral.
GAAUGCUGACAUAAGUAACGAUAAAGCGGGUGAAAAGCCCGCUCGCCGGAAGACCAAGGGUUCCUGUCCAACGUUAAUCGGGGCAGGGUGAGUCGACCCCUAAGGCGAGGCCGAAAGGCGUAGUCGAUGGGAAACGGGUUAAUAUUCCCGUACUUGGUGUUACUGCGAAGGGGGGACGGAGAAGGCUAUGUUGGCCGGGCGACGGUUGUCCCGGUUUAAGCGUGUAGGUGUGUGUUCCAGGUAAAUCCGGUUCACUUUAACACUGAGGCGUGACGACGAGGCACUACGGUGCUGAAGCAACAAAUGCCCUGCUUCCAGGAAAAGCCUCUAAGCAUCAGGUAACAUCAAAUCGUACCCCAAACCGACACAGGUGGUCAGGUAGAGAAUACCAAGGCGCUUGAGAGAACUCGGGUGAAGGAACUAGGCAAAAUGGUGCCGUAACUUCGGGAGAAGGCACGCUGACACGUAGGUGAAGUGAUUUACUCAUGGAGCUGAAGUCAGUCGAAGAUACCAGCUGGCUGCAACUGUUUAUUAAAAACACAGCACUGUGCAAACACGAAAGUGGACGUAUACGGUGUGACGCCUGCCCGGUGCCGGAAGGUUAAUUGAUGGGGUCAGCGCAAGCGAAGCUCCUGAUCGAAGCCCCGGUAAACGGCGGCCGUAACUAUAACGGUCCUAAGGUAGCGAAAUUCCUUGUCGGGUAAGUUCCGACCUGCACGAAUGGCGUAAUGAUGGCCAGGCUGUCUCCACCCGAGACUCAGUGAAAUUGAACUCGCUGUGAAGAUGCAGUGUACCCGCGGCAAGACGGAAAGACCCCGUGAACCUUUACUAUAGCUUGACACUGAACAUUGAGCCUUGAUGUGUAGGAUAGGUGGGAGGCUUUGAAGCGUGGACGCCAGUCUGCGUGGAGCCGACCUUGAAAUACCACCCUUUAAUGUUUGAUGUUCUAACGUGGACCCGUAAUCCGGGUUGCGGACAGUGUCUGGUGGGUAGUUUGACUGGGGCGGUCUCCUCCUAAAGAGUAACGGAGGAGCACGAAGGUUGGCUAAUCCUGGUCGGACAUCAGGAGGUUAGUGCAAUGGCAUAAGCCAGCUUGACUGCGAGCGUGACGGCGCGAGCAGGUGCGAAAGCAGGUCAUAGUGAUCCGGUGGUUCUGAAUGGAAGGGCCAUCGCUCAACGGAUAAAAGGUACUCCGGGGAUAACAGGCUGAUACCGCCCAAGAGUUCAUAUCGACGGCGGUGUUUGGCACCUCGAUGUCGGCUCAUCACAUCCUGGGGCUGAAGUAGGUCCCAAGGGUAUGGCUGUUCGCCAUUUAAAGUGGUACGCGAGCUGGGUUUAGAACGUCGUGAGACAGUUCGGUCCCUAUCUGCCGUGGGCGCUGGAGAACUGAGGGGGGCUGCUCCUAGUACGAGAGGACCGGAGUGGACGCAUCACUGGUGUUCGGGUUGUCAUGCCAAUGGCACUGCCCGGUAGCUACAUGCGGAAGAGAUAAGUGCUGAAAGCAUCUAAGCACGAAACUUGCCCCGAGA